RNAcentral lists this long non-coding RNA (200 nucleotides) under Gossypium barbadense (sea-island cotton). RNAcentral describes it as "long non-coding RNA (GBAR_LNC023367)". Lineage: Eukaryota; Viridiplantae; Streptophyta; Magnoliopsida; Malvales; Malvaceae. The record is from RNAcentral.
AACAAUCGGCAACACCCACAUUUCCACUAUGUUAGCCGAAUACUCAUUCUCUUCUUAGUCCUAAAUUCGGCACCUCCAACAAAAUAGCUUAACAAUUUCAACUUUCAUGCUAACAUAACAAGCAACUUAACACAUCCAUAUAACUAGCAUGCUAAUAGCAUCAAGGUAUCAACUAAAAUUUUUUAAGCUCCUUAGCCGAA